GGUUUUUAGAUUUUAUUAAAAAUCAAGCCUGCUCAAUGCUAAGUAAAUAGCCGCAGAAUUUUAACUGUGCAAAGGUAGCAUAAUCACUUGUCUUUUAAUUGAGGACUAGAAUGAAAGGUUUAACUAUGUAAUUUUGUCUUAUAAUAAUAUUUUGAACUUAAUUUUUUAGUAAAAAAGCUAAAAUUCAUCUUAAAGACGAGAAGACCCUAUUAAGCUUUACAAUUUAAUAUUAUUUUCAAACUAAUUAAAAAAUUGUUCUGCUGGGGCAGCAAAUAGAAAAAUAUUGUUUACAUAUUGUGAUAAAUAAAUCUAGAAAAAUCAAUAAUUUGUUAAAAAAUAAUAAGUUACUAUAGGGAUAACAGCAUAAUUUUUUUAAAGAGUUCUUAUCAACAAAAAAGUUUGUGACCUCGAUGUUGGAUUAAGAAUCCUAUUUUACGCAGUAGUAAAAAAAGGAAGUCUGUUCGACUUUUAAAUUCUUCCA
This 481-nucleotide ribosomal RNA is filed under the name Paruroctonus becki. RNAcentral's name for it is "partial 16S ribosomal RNA". It matches the Rfam family "Bacterial large subunit ribosomal RNA", at positions 1832 to 2600 of the family's 2925-position model. The record is from RNAcentral. Lineage: Eukaryota; Metazoa; Arthropoda; Arachnida; Scorpiones; Vaejovidae.